RNAcentral lists this ribosomal RNA (576 nucleotides) under Schaefferia frutescens. RNAcentral's name for it is "eukaryotic LSU rRNA". The stretch from base 218 to 373 matches the Rfam family "5.8S ribosomal RNA". Lineage: Eukaryota; Viridiplantae; Streptophyta; Magnoliopsida; Celastrales; Celastraceae. The record is from RNAcentral.
CCGACCACCCGCGAACGCGUGAGAACCACCGCGGGCGACAGGCCCCAGGCCGGUCGCCCGACBCCHKAUGGGGGGGGGAGCACCCCUCCCGCAGGCACCAAAACGAACCCCGGCGCAAGUCGYGUCAAGGAACCGAAAGUAGAUGCGCGGCCCUCCCCCCGCACCGGAAACGGUCGCACCGGGGGUGGGMGCACGUCGUUCGUAUCCCAUACGAAACGACUCUCGGCAACGGAUAUCUCGGCUCUCGCAUCGAUGAAGAACGUAGCGAAAUGCGAUACUUGGUGUGAAUUGCAGAAUCCCGUGAACCAUCGAGUUUUUGAACGCAAGUUGCGCCCGAAGCCGUCAGGCCUAGGGCACGCCUGCCUGGGUGUCACGCAACGUCGCCCACACCCGCUCGCGGGGUGGCGGAUGAUGGCCUCCCGUGMGCUCUCGCUCGCGGMUGGCCCAAAACACAAACCCCUGGCGAUGGCUGCCACGGCACGCGGUGGUCGGAAGCAAAUGAACYGCCGUGGGCAAGCCUCGUCGACGGGAUCGGCAGACCCCGACGCGAUCGCAAGCGUCGUCUACGCACAGCGA